This 73-nucleotide transfer RNA is filed under the name Planctomycetota bacterium. Its description in RNAcentral is "tRNA-Ile". It matches the Rfam family "tRNA". From Rfam's summary of the family: Transfer RNA (tRNA) molecules are approximately 80 nucleotides in length. Their secondary structure includes four short double-helical elements and three loops (D, anti-codon, and T loops). Lineage: Bacteria; Pseudomonadati; Planctomycetota. RNAcentral also lists the same sequence under 1 other name. The record is from RNAcentral.
UGGCGCGUAGCUCAGCGGUGAGAGCGGCGUCCUUAUAAGACGCAGGUCGUGGGUUCAACUCCCACCGCGCCGA